This 335-nucleotide ribosomal RNA is filed under the name uncultured bacterium. Its description in RNAcentral is "bacterial SSU rRNA". It matches the Rfam family "Bacterial small subunit ribosomal RNA", at positions 28 to 365 of the family's 1533-position model. The record is from RNAcentral.
GAUGAACGCUGGCGGCGUGCCUAACACAUGCAAGUCGAACGUGAGAGAGUAGCAAUAUUCUUGAAAGUGGCGCACGGGUGAGUAAUACGUAGGUGACCUGCCCUGGAGUGGGGGAUAACAGCUAGAAAUGGCUGCUAAUACCGCAUAACACCAAAUUGCUGGGAAGUGAAUUGGUAAAAACUCUGGUGCUUCAGGAGGGGCCUGCGGCCGAUUAGCUAGUUGGCGGGUAAGAGCCCACCAAGGCAGUGACCGGUAGCUGGUCUGAGAGGAUGAUCAGCCACACUGGGACUGAGACACGGCCCAGACUCCUACGGGAGGCAGCAGUGGGGAAUAUU